ACGCUGGCGGCGUGCCUAAUACAUGCAAGUAGAACGCUGAAGGAGGAGCUUGCUUCUCUGGAUGAGUUGCGAACGGGUGAGUAACGCGUAGGUAACCUGCCUGGUAGCGGGGGAUAACUAUUGGAAACGAUAGCUAAUACCGCAUAAUAGUAGAUGUUGCAUGACAUUUGCUUAAAAGAUGCAAUUGCAUCACUACCAGAUGGACCUGCGUUGUAUUAGCUAGUUGGUGGGGUAACGGCUCACCAAGGCGACGAUACAUAGCCGACCUGAGAGGGUGAUCGGCCACACUGGGACUGAGACACGGCCCAGACUCCUACGGGAGGCAGCAGUAGGGAAUCUUCGGCAAUGGACGAAAGUCUGACCGAGCAACGCCGCGUGAGUGAAGAAGGUUUUCGGAUCGUAAAGCUCUGUUGUAAGAGAAGAACGAGUGUGAGAGUGGAAAGUUCACACUGUGACGGUAUCUUACCAGAAAGGGACGGCUAACUACGUGCCAGCAGCCGCGGUAAUACGUAGGUCCCGAGCGUUGUCCGGAUUUAUUGGGCGUAAAGCGAGCGCAGGCGGUUAGAUAAGUCUGAAGUUAAAGGCUGUGGCUUAACCAUAGUACGCUUUGGAAACUGUUUAACUUGAGUGCAAGAGGGGAGAGUGGAAUUCCAUGUGUAGCGGUGAAAUGCGUAGAUAUAUGGAGGAACACCGGUGGCGAAAGCGGCUCUCUGGCUUGUAACUGACGCUGAGGCUCAAAAGCGUGGGGGGCAAACAGGAUUAGAUACCCUGGUAGUCCACGCCGUAAACGAUGAGUGCUAGGUGUUAGACCCUUUCCGGGGUUUAGUGCCGCAGCUAACGCAUUAAGCACUCCGCCUGGGGAGUACGACCGCAAGGUUGAAACUCAAAGGAAUUGACGGGGGCCCGCACAAGCGGUGGAGCAUGUG
Molecule: ribosomal RNA, 926 nt
Filed under: uncultured bacterium
Lineage: Bacteria
Description: bacterial SSU rRNA
Rfam family: Bacterial small subunit ribosomal RNA
Source: RNAcentral